RNAcentral lists this ribosomal RNA (262 nucleotides) under Heterodrilus jamiesoni. RNAcentral describes it as "partial 16S ribosomal RNA". It matches the Rfam family "Archaeal large subunit ribosomal RNA", at positions 1953 to 2384 of the family's 2987-position model. Lineage: Eukaryota; Metazoa; Annelida; Clitellata; Tubificida; Naididae. The record is from RNAcentral.
GCCCACUGUAAUUAAAGGCUGCGGUACCCUGACCGUACUAAGGUAGCAUAAUAACUUGUCUAUUAAUUAUAGUCUAGAAUAAAUGGGUAAACGAGCGCAAAACUUUCUAAACCUGGAAACUAAAAAUUAACAUUUAAGUGAAAAUGCUUAUAUUUAAAUAAAGGACAAGAAGACCCUAUAGAGCUUAGCUUUUAAAGCAUACUAAGCCUACAAAGCUUUAGAUGGGGCGUCUAGAGACCAUAAAACACCUCUAAAAAAAAAA